This 977-nucleotide long non-coding RNA is filed under the name Pan troglodytes (chimpanzee). RNAcentral describes it as "lncRNA (ENSPTRG00000054056.1)". The record is from RNAcentral. Lineage: Eukaryota; Metazoa; Chordata; Mammalia; Primates; Hominidae.
CUAGUUAUGUAGGGAACUAGAGAGAAAAAGAGAGAGAGAGAGGAGAGAGAGGGAGAUAGAAGAGAGGAGAGAGAGAUUUGAAACCCAUCUCACACCCUAAAUGUGGGCAGGCUUGCAGACAGAUAUCUUGGAACUACGAGGCUUUUCUUCUGGAAAAAUGUCCAACUGUAGCAGACAGAAAGGAAGCCAAGAGAGGGUGUUUACAGCAAGGAGGGGCUAUGAAAUAUCUUCACUCCAGGUUCUUUACGAGCUGCAGUGUAUCAUUUUUAUCAGUAAUUGGAAGCAUGCUGCAUGUUUGACUCUGUGGACUCCUGCUUUACACAACAGAACAUUCCGAUGGUGUGCAUGUGCCAUACCCUGCCGUAACAAAUCUCAGCUGGUCCUCUGCUGUCCUCUGGGGAGAAUGCAUUUGAACUCAUCUCAAAGAGCUGGUUUUCUACCCUGGAGGUCUCCGAUGGCUACUGCGAGAAGAAAGCCAUGUCCCGAAAGCAGUGAUACAGAUUGGCAGCCACUGCAGAGAUGCAGAAUGUCGAAGAGUGUGUGUGUUGGAAUUCCUGGACAGACACUGCUCUGAAAGAAAAACCCUCUGGUUUUGGAAGUCUGGUUGGGCAAGGCAGGCGGAGGUCAUGGAGGGGCCGGCGUGAUGGAAUCCUCGGUGCAGCUGACUGCGCAGCCCGACACUGGCGUGGACACUGGGAUGCGUCAUGCAACAUCCAACCAGAGCACACUCACGAGGACAAACAUGGGCCCACCUAUUUACCAUCAGAAAAACAAAAUCACGCUCUUUCACUUUGAAAGAAGGGGGAAACUGGAAAGUUAUUAUUUGAAAUAAAAUGGAAUUUUAGGAUAAUUAUUUUCUUUAAUAUCCCUUUUAUUUCCCUGUUUUUCAUUUGAAUUCUGGUCUAUCCCGCAUACAAAGAAAUUGGCAUUCUCUGCCACCAAUCAACAUUUGAGUAUUUGGCAAAGUUAUGAUUUCA